GUCAGCAUGGUAUAGUGGUUUGAGUAUUGGACUAUGACUAUGACUCUGGAGGCCAGGGUUCGAUUCCCAGCUCAGCCA
Non-coding RNA from Phrynosoma platyrhinos (Desert horned lizard), 78 nucleotides. The record is from the annotation of a GenBank genome assembly. NCBI's taxonomy places the organism in Eukaryota, Metazoa, Chordata, Lepidosauria, Squamata, Phrynosomatidae.